Lemur catta (Ring-tailed lemur) is the source of this 103-nucleotide small nuclear RNA. NCBI's taxonomy places the organism in Eukaryota, Metazoa, Chordata, Mammalia, Primates, Lemuridae. The record is from RefSeq and is a predicted model, not a curated record.
AUGCUUAAGCAGCAGUUAUAUUCAAACUGGAACCAUGCAGAGAAGAUUAGCAUGGCCCCAGCACAAGAAUUACAAAAAAAUUUGUGAAUCCCUUUAUAGUUUA